CACGUAGGAGGCGAACGUUAUCCGGAUUUACUGGGCGUAAAGCGCGUGUAGGUGGUUUGGUAAGUAGGGCGUGAAAGCUCCUGGCUCAACUGGGAGAGGCCGUUCUAAACUGCCGAGCUAGAGGAUGGUAGAGGGAGGUGGAAUUCCGGGUGUAGCGGUGGAAUGCGCAGAUAUCCGGAGGAACACCAGUGGCGAAAGCGACGCGCUGGGCCUGACCUGACGCUAAGACGCGAAAGCAUGGGGAGCGAACGGG
RNAcentral lists this ribosomal RNA (253 nucleotides) under uncultured prokaryote. RNAcentral's name for it is "partial 16S ribosomal RNA". It matches the Rfam family "Bacterial small subunit ribosomal RNA", at positions 524 to 776 of the family's 1533-position model. The record is from RNAcentral.